RNAcentral lists this ribosomal RNA (1130 nucleotides) under Staphylococcus epidermidis. Its description in RNAcentral is "bacterial LSU rRNA". It matches the Rfam family "Bacterial large subunit ribosomal RNA", at positions 1798 to 2925 of the family's 2925-position model. Lineage: Bacteria; Bacillati; Bacillota; Bacilli; Caryophanales; Staphylococcaceae. The record is from RNAcentral.
GACUGUUUAUCAAAAACACAGGUCUCUGCUAAACCGUAAGGUGAUGUAUAGGGGCUGACGCCUGCCCGGUGCUGGAAGGUUAAGAGGAGGUUAGCUUCUGCGAAGCUACGAAUCGAAGCCCAGUAAACGGCGGCCGUAACUAUAACGGUCCUAAGGUAGCGAAAUUCCUUGUCGGGUAAGUUCCGACCCGCACGAAAGGCGUAACGAUUUGGGCACUGUCUCAACGAGAGACUCGGUGAAAUCAUAGUACCUGUGAAGAUGCAGGUUACCCGCGACAGGACGGAAAGACCCCGUGGAGCUUUACUGUAGCCUGAUAUUGAAAUUCGGCACAGCUUGUACAGGAUAGGUAGGAGCCUUUGAAACGUGAGCGCUAGCUUACGUGGAGGCGUUGGUGGGAUACUACCCUAGCUGUGUUGGCUUUCUAACCCGCACCACUUAUCGUGGUGGGAGACAGUGUCAGGCGGGCAGUUUGACUGGGGCGGUCGCCUCCUAAAAGGUAACGGAGGCGCUCAAAGGUUCCCUCAGAAUGGUUGGAAAUCAUUCAUAGAGUGUAAAGGCAUAAGGGAGCUUGACUGCGAGACCUACAAGUCGAGCAGGGUCGAAAGACGGACUUAGUGAUCCGGUGGUUCCGCAUGGAAGGGCCAUCGCUCAACGGAUAAAAGCUACCCCGGGGAUAACAGGCUUAUCUCCCCCAAGAGUUCACAUCGACGGGGAGGUUUGGCACCUCGAUGUCGGCUCAUCGCAUCCUGGGCUGUAGUCGGUCCCAAGGGUUGGGCUGUUCGCCCAUUAAAGCGGUACGCGAGCUGGGUUCAGAACGUCGUGAGACAGUUCGGUCCCUAUCCGUCGUGGGCGUAGGAAAUUUGAGAGGAGCUGUCCUUAGUACGAGAGGACCGGGAUGGACAUACCUCUGGUGUACCAGUUGUCGUGCCAACGGCAUAGCUGGGUAGCUAUGUAUGGACGGGAUAAGUGCUGAAAGCAUCUAAGCAUGAAGCCCCCCUCAAGAUGAGAUUUCCCCAACUUCGGUUAUAAGAUCCCUCGAAGAUGACGAGGUUAAUAGGUUCGAGGUGGAAGCGUGGUGACACGUGGAGCUGACGAAUACUAAUCGAUCGAAGACUUAAUCAAUUUUUAAA